CGACGUGAGGAACCUGCCUCAAAGAGGGGGACAACAGUUGGAAACGACUGCUAAUACCGCAUAAGCCCACAGCUCGGCAUCGAGCAGAGGGAAAAGGAGCAAUCCGCUUUGAGAUGGCCUCGCGUCCGAUUAGCUAGUUGGUGAGGCAACGGCCCACCAAGGCGACGAUCGGUAGCCGGACUGAGAGGUUGAACGGCCACAUUGGGACUGAGACACGGCCCAG
Molecule: ribosomal RNA, 223 nt
Filed under: uncultured bacterium
Lineage: Bacteria
Description: partial 16S ribosomal RNA
Rfam family: Bacterial small subunit ribosomal RNA
Source: RNAcentral